GGGAAAGUGAGAGUCUUCCUUGAUUGGGAGUUUGGAAGAAAAGUAAGGCAUUAUUUUAAUCCUCUUAUUCUUUCCUUUUUGAAAGGGAACCUGACUGCAGAGAGAACGUAUUGUUGAUUACUGUCAGCCCUGCAGAAGUUUACACACAGAAGCCUUGCCUGGUGGUGGAGGGCAGAGUGACCCAGCACUGCCUUGCAGGGGACCAGGCCCUGGGCCUCCUGAAGGUUCACUGAAAAAUCAACUCACAAAAGGCUGAUUAAGAGGAUAAAAGAUACCUAACUCAUAGAAAUGACCUGUAAUCAUGGCCUGGGUUAGGAACAAGGAUUUGGAGGAAGAAAGUGCCUUCAAAUCACCCUGCAAAUAGUGUUGUCUACUCAGCCACAGGAAGACAAGCCCUGGGGAUGCAUUCAGCAGGCAGCAGGUCCCGCGGGUUCUACAGCUUCAAAUUACUUGGAGCAAAUGAGGCUUUUCAGCUUUGCUUGCUCAAUGCCAAGCUCCACACUUUAGAAGGGGAUCCUUGUAUACCUGACUCACCACCCGAAGGAAAUGUCUUCAGAGAUGUUCACUGCCCCAGGUAGGGCCCAUGCUCCACGUAAGGCCAUCCGCUCCAGGUGUAAUCGUGCCAGGCUCCAUUGCCCAAUAUGUGGCAAGUCAAUACAUGGAGACACAAAGAAUUGUAGCAGAGAAAGAAGUUUAAUCAUCAGGGAUUCAAACAAGGAGUGCUCACCUUGGUUUACCUUCACAAAGGCAGCAUUUCCUUACUUUCAAGAAGCUUGAUGUCUAACCUGGCCUCUUCACCAUGGAUAAAACACACACAAAACGAGAACUCAGUAGAACAGUGGCAACCCUACUGAUUUUUAAAGGAUGCGGAUUUCAACAAAGAAUCUACCCUGUUCUUCCGUAGAAGAGCCCAGUGGGUGGAAUGAUGCCCCUCACUCAAGGUGAGGGCAGAGCUUGCAAGAGAACUGAUCAUUAAGUCCUGAAAAAGGCAGUGAGAACUUACAAGGGCAUGGUACGUUUUGUAAGAUCUCACAGAAGACCCAGGUCACUGAAAACUGGAAGAUGCAUUUGCAGUGUAGAAAGCAUUUUAGCUGGGUGAAACUGCACUAAUUAAGAUGCAUCAUGGGUAGAGGGGAAAUUAAAGAACCAGAAAAGAAACAAUUACUGUUUUAGAGACAUAAGUGUCUGCAUUCAAAUACCAACUCUACCAUUUAUCAUUUGUACUAACUUUGGAUGACUUUGAGAAUUUUUUUUUGUCUCAGGAUUCUUAUUUUUAAAAAUGCAGAGGCUAUUUGGUAUCAGCAUCAUAAUGGGAUGCAAAAUGAAACAGAAUAAUAAUUAUAAAAAAGUUUAGGACAAUUUAUGAAGAACUUGCAUGUACUUCUUCUCAUGUGGGAUGCUGUUGCAAUAUAUCCUUUUUUUUAAGGUAGAUUGAUCAAUUCAAAGCAUAAAAUAAACUGAUAAAAGUGGAUGGUACGGGCACAACUGUAGAUAAUCACUAACUUGCAAACAACAAUCUGGAAAGAAGAGGUGUUUUGUCCACCUUGCACACGUUAUAAGUUUCCUCUAAUCUGGCAACUUUAUUAUCCCCAACAUCUAUGGAAUAAGUCAAAUUCACGUAUUACAUAGACUCAGAGAAUCUCAAAGGGCAUAGAAUGCAUCCAAGGAUGCCAAUCUAACUCAUGCAACCAUAUGUUGAUGAUCUGGGGGAGGAAAGCUUAUAAGCAUUGCAAAUUGCUACCAGGCUAUUGCAGCUUCAACGGCAAUGUGGAGACUUAUUCUUCCCACAUUUUUGUUCCCUAAAGCAGAGUAUAUUUCAAACUUUUGAAUCUUUCAUUUCCAUUUCUCUACCACAAGAAGAUAUAAAGCCGCUCAGACACUUGCCGGUUAAAGUACUUGAGCUCCAGGAUAAAUACUUAGGAAUAGAGCCAGUCAGAUUUGUCUCCCAGCUUUUGUCCCUUUUCUCUUCUAGUGAGGAAAUUGCACCUCAUUAGCUUUGUGACUUUAGAAAGCCACUUCACCUUUCUAAAUCUCAGUUUCUUCAAUUGCAAAGUAGUAAUGAUAUUUAAAACACAUCACUGCUAUUAGGGUUGCACAGAGUAACCCUUAGCUUUUAAAUCACUUCCAGAGUGCCUGGUGCAUAAAUAGAAGCCAUAACUCUUAUUAUACCCUUUGCUCUUCACACUGUAUUGUUUAGCUUCCUUGUUUUAUAAAUUAUGGCAUUGUUUAUAUAAAAAUGAAAUGCUUAGAUAUUCAAGUUAAUGAGUUCUGACAAAUGUAUAUACCUGUAUACCCACUUCAUACAACAAGAUAUUGUUUCCAACAUUCCUGAAAGUUUUUUUGUGUACCCUUCCAGUAAGUUUCCCCACCUCCCAUUGAAAAUCAUUUCUAAACUCUAGCAGAUUUCUAGCUUAAUCUAGCAUCGAUUACUUUUGCCUGUUUGUAUGGUAUAUCAAUGAAAUUAUAUGACAUCUCAUCCUAUGCAUCUGCCAUGUUCACUCAAUUUAAUGUUUUUGAGAUUCAUCAUCCAUAUUGUUGCAUAUAUUAAGCUAGUAGAUUUCUGAUUGCUAAGUAUGAAUAUAUUACAAUAUAUUUAGCUAUUUUCCUGUUGAUUGACAUUUGGAUUAUUGCUAAUUUCAAGCUAUUAUUAAUAAAACUGCUAACAUUCUUUUCUUGCACAAGUUGUUUUGUUGAUAUAUGUUUCCUAUUUUUCUUUUUCUUUUUUUUUUUUCAGAGAAAGAGUCUCUCUCUGUUACCCAGGCUGGAGUGCAGUGAUGCAAUCAUAGCUCACUGCAACCUCAACUUCUUGGGUUCAAGUGAUCCUCCAGCUUCAGUCUUCUGAGUAGCUGAGAUUAUAGGUACUCACCACCCCACCUGGCUAAUUUUUAAAAAUUUUUUGCACGACAGAAUCUCGCUAUCUUGCCCAGGCUGGUCUCAAACUUCUGGCCUCUAGUGAUCAUCUGCCUUGGCCUCCCAAGUGCUGGGAUUAUAGGCACGAGCCACUGUGCCCAGCCUGUAUAUAUGUUUUUAUUAUUAUUCAGGGUAAAUAUUAUUAUUAUAUUAAAUUAAAUAUUACUCAGGGUAAAUGCCUAAGUGUUGAAUUUCUGGGUCAUAGAGUAGAUACAUGUUUAACAUUAUAUAUGCUAAAUCGUUCCCUGAAGUGGUUGUAUUAUUUUUCACUUCUGACAGCAAGGUAUAGGAAGCUCAGUUGCUGCACAUCUUUGCCAGCCUGUGCUAUUCUCAGUCUUUCUGUUAUAGCUGACCUAGUGUAUGUAAAGUGGUAUUUUAUUAUUGCUUAUUUUGAAUUUCCCUGACUGCAGUGAUUUUGAGCACCUUUUCUUGUGCUUACUGGUCACUGAGUUAGCUCCUUCUCACUAGGGUCUUUUUGAGACCUUAUCUAUUUUUUUUUUCAAAACUGGGUCUUUCUUUUAAUUAUUGAUUUACAGGAAAUUUUUAAAAUAUGUUAUGAGUAAGAGUGUUUUUUUAGAUAUAUAAUGAAUAUUUUCAGGCUGUGAUUUACCUUCUUAUUGUCAUAAUGAUAUGUUUUUAAGAGAAAAAAUUUUAAUUUUGACAUAAUUCAAUUUAUGUAGUUUUUUCUUUCAUUAUUAAGGCUUCUUUUUUUCUAAGAAAUCUGGCUAAACUCAGUGUGGAAAGAUAUUCCUUUAUGUUUCUUUAUGGAAGUUUUUUUUUUUUUAAUUCAAGCUUUUACAUUCAUGGCUCUGAUCCAUCUUGAAUUAGUUGUUACACACGGAGUGAGUAGGGUACAAUGUUCAGCUUUUUCCCAACAGAGUAUUCAGUUGUUCCAAUACAUUUUGUCUAUAAGGCUCCUUUUUGUUUUUGUUCUUUCAUAAAAAUUUAAGGGGUACAAGUGCAGUUUUGCUACAUGGAUAUAUUGUGUAGUGGUGAAGUCUGGGCUUUGGUGUACCCAUCACCUGGAUGAUGUACAUUGUACCCGUUAAGUAAUUUCUAUCCCUUGCCCCUCCCACCUUCCUACCCUUCUGAAUCUCCAGUGUCUGUUAUUCUACACUGUAUGUCCCCAUGCACGCAUUAUUUAGCUCCCACUUAUAAGUGAGAACAGGAGGUAUUUGGCUUUCUGUUUCUGAGUUGUUUCAUUUAAAAUAAUGGCCUCUAGUUCCACCCAUGAUGCUGCAAAAGACAUGAUUUAAUUCUUUUUAAUGGCCGAAUAGUAUUCCAUUGUAUACAUUUAUCACAUUUUCUUUAUGUAAUCACUUAGGUUGAUUCCAUGACUUUGCUGUUGUGAAUAGAGCUGUGAUAAACAUGUGAGUGCAGGUAUUUUUUUUUACAUAAUUUCUUUUCCUUUGGGUGGAUACUCGGAAGUGGAAUUGCUGGAUCAAAUGGAGGUUGCAGUUUUAGUUCUUUGAGAAAUCUCUAUACCAUUUUUCAGAGAGGUUGUACUAAUUUACAUUCCCACCAACAGUGUAUAAGCAUUCCCUGUUCUCUGCAUCCUCACUGAUAUCCAUUGUUUUUUGACUUCUUAGUAGUAACCAUUCUAACUGGUGUAAGAUGAUAUCUCAUUAUGAUUUUGAUUCACAUUUCCCUGAUGAUUAGUGAUGUUGAAUAUUUUUUUUCAUAUGCCUGUUAACUGUUUGCAUGGAAAAGACUCCUUGGCAACUUGGACAUAAAAUAAUUAUUGGUUAAUUUGCAGGUCUAUGUCUAGACCCUGCUCUUUUUCAUUGAUUUAUUUGGUUUGUCCUUAUACAAAUACUACAUUUCCUUGAUUGCUGUAGUUUUGUAGUAAAUCUUGUUUAAGGUCACUAAAAUAGGCCUAUCUCUUCUUUCCAACCUAUAUGGCUUUUUUUUUCUUGCCUUAUUAUCCUACCUAUGACUAUCAGCAUAAUGUUGAAUAAAAGCUAUGAGAGUUGGUGUCAUUACUGUUUUCUGGUUUCAUGUAAAAUAUAUCCAAUAUUUCACCAUAAGUUAUGAUGUUAACUAUUGGUUUUUCAUAGAUAUUAUGAUAGAUUAAAGAAGUUGCUUUUAUUCCUAGUUUUCUGAGAGUUUUAAAAAAUCAUGAAUAGGUAUCAAGUUUUGUCAUGUGCCUUUUCUGUAUCUAUCAAGUUACUCGUAAGAUUUUUUAUUCAGUUAAUGUAGUAAAAUAUGCUGAUUUGGAAUGUAAGUAAGCCUUACAUUCUUGAAUUAAGUGUCAUGCAAAUGAUAUGUUAUCCUUUUUAUGUAAGGCUGGAUGUGAUUUACUAAUUUUUGUUAAAGACUUAUACAUCUAUGCUCAUGACAGAUAUGGUCUAUAAUUUACCUCUUUGAUGUCUCAAGUUUGGAGUCAGGGUAUUGCUAGACUCAUAAAAUAAAUUGGUACAGAUUGACCUAAAUGGAACUCUGAAAAAUACUCACUAUAUAAUCUAAUUGCCAAGUCCAACCCCCAUUAUCAAAUUAAUGAGCAAAACGCAGAAUAAUUUUUGUCAGAAAAAUAUUCCUUUAUUUUUCAAUUCAAAUAAACAUUAUUGAUAUGCACUCCUUUGAUAACCGUCUUCUAAAUUAUAAUUCUAAGAUAGAUAGGUAAAUAAAUAGAUUUAGAUGAAGACACACACCUUUGUUGCUAUAAAAGUGACACACCCUUGCCUUCAAUAUUCCUUAUAGAUAUUUUCUUUGCUUUGCCCUCAAAGACUCAUCCUCAAUAGCAAUACAGUCUUUGACAAGACCAAAAGAGGGAAGACAUAAGGACACACGCAAAUAAAAGUUGUUAAAAUUCUGCUAUUCCAUUCAAUAAUAUAGCUGUACUCCAAGCAUUGACAACAUUUUAAACCUAAACCCGUCAUUUCUAAUACCACGAUUUGCUCUGAACAGAAAUAUGCAUAAUGUGUGGAAAGUCUAGAAGUCCAACCGGGAUGAUUCAACUUUAAAUAAAGAAGGCUACUGAGGCUAUUCAUACCA
RNAcentral lists this long non-coding RNA (5904 nucleotides) under Homo sapiens (human). Its description in RNAcentral is "HSALNT0024010". Lineage: Eukaryota; Metazoa; Chordata; Mammalia; Primates; Hominidae. The record is from RNAcentral.